RNAcentral lists this ribosomal RNA (861 nucleotides) under uncultured marine bacterium. Its description in RNAcentral is "bacterial SSU rRNA". It matches the Rfam family "Bacterial small subunit ribosomal RNA", at positions 8 to 916 of the family's 1533-position model. The record is from RNAcentral.
AGAGUUUGAUCCUGGCUCAGAACGAACGCUGGCGGCAGGCCUAACACAUGCAAGUCGAGCGCUCUCUUCGGAGGGAGCGGCGGACGGGUGAGUAACGCGUGGGAACGUGCCCUUCUCUAUGGAAUAGCCACUGGAAACGGUGAGUAAUACCAUAUACGCCCUUCGGGGGAAAGAUUUAUCGGAGAAGGAUCGGCCCGCGUUAGAUUAGGUAGUUGGUGGGGUAAUGGCCUACCAAGCCUACGAUCUAUAGCUGGUUUUAGAGGAUGAUCAGCCACACUGGGACUGAGACACGGCCCAGACUCCUACGGGAGGCAGCAGUGGGGAAUCUUAGACAAUGGGCGCAAGCCUGAUCUAGCCAUGCCGCGUGAGUGAUGAAGGCCUUAGGGUCGUAAAGCUCUUUCGCCAGAGAUGAUAAUGACAGUAUCUGGUAAAGAAACCCCGGCUAACUCCGUGCCAGCAGCCGCGGUAAUACGGAGGGGGUUAGCGUUGUUCGGAAUUACUGGGCGUAAAGCGCACGUAGGCGGAUUAGAAAGUUAGGGGUGAAAUCCCGGGGCUCAACCUUGGAACUGCCUCUAAAACUCCUAGUCUAGAGUUCGAGAGAGGUGAGUGGAAUUCCAAGUGUAGAGGUGAAACUCGUAGAUAUUUGGAGGAACACCAGUGGCGAAGGCGGCUCACUGGCUCGAUACUGACGCUGAGGUGCGAAAGUGUGGGGAGCAAACAGGAUUAGAUACCCUGGUAGUCCACACCGUAAACGAUGAAUGCCAGUCGUCGGGUAGUAUACUGCUCGGUGACACACCUAACGGAUUAAGCAUUCCGCCUGGGGAGUACGGUCGCAAGAUUAAAACUCAAAGGAAUUGACGG